RNAcentral lists this unclassified non-coding RNA (253 nucleotides) under plant metagenome. RNAcentral's name for it is "partial contains small subunit ribosomal RNA, internal transcribed spacer 1, and 5.8S ribosomal RNA". The record is from RNAcentral.
UUUCCGUAGGUGAACCUGCGGAAGGAUCAUUAACGAGUUAGGGUCUUCCAGGCCCGACCUCCCAACCCUAUGUUUAUUGAACCUCUGUUGCUUCGGCGGACCCGUCUCACGGCCGCCGGAGGACCGCUGCAAGGCGUCCUCUGGCCAGCGUCCGCCGAUGGCCAACCACUUAAACUCUGAAUGAAUCGUGUCAUAUGUCUAAGUCUAUGAUUAAAUUAAAGCAAAACUUUCAACAACGGAUCUCUUGGUUCUG